RNAcentral lists this ribosomal RNA (497 nucleotides) under uncultured bacterium. Its description in RNAcentral is "partial 16S ribosomal RNA". It matches the Rfam family "Bacterial small subunit ribosomal RNA", at positions 28 to 507 of the family's 1533-position model. The record is from RNAcentral.
GAUGAACGCUGGCGGCGUGCCUAAUACAUGCAAGUCGAGCGAACAGACGAGGAGCUUGCUCCUCCGACGUUAGCGGCGGACGGGUGAGUAACACGUGGAUAACCUACCUAUAAGACUGGGAUAACUUCGGGAAACCGGAGCUAAUACCGGAUAAUAUAUUGAACUGCAUGGUUCAAUAGUGAAAGACGGUUUUGCUGUCACUUAUAGAUGGAUCCGCGCCGCAUUAGCUAGUUGGUAAGGUAACGGCUUACCAAGGCAACGAUGCGUAGCCGACCUGAGAGGGUGAUCGGCCACACUGGAACUGAGACACGGUCCAGACUCCUACGGGAGGCAGCAGUAGGGAAUCUUCCGCAAUGGGCGAAAGCCUGACGGAGCAACGCCGCGUGAGUGAUGAAGGUCUUCGGAUCGUAAAACUCUGUUAUUAGGGAAGAACAAAUGUGUAAGUAACUAUGCACGUCUUGACGGUACCUAAUCAGAAAGCCACGGCUAACUACGUG